UUUAAGAUAGGGAAUGAAGUUCUCCCUGGAUUAAUAUUCCAAACCGCUGAUAAGCUAAUGACUUCUAAGCACCG
This 74-nucleotide non-coding RNA is filed under the name Maledivibacter halophilus. Its description in RNAcentral is "Clostridium halophilum Fluoride sequence". It matches the Rfam family "Fluoride riboswitch aptamer (crcB RNA motif)". Lineage: Bacteria; Bacillati; Bacillota; Clostridia; Peptostreptococcales; Caminicellaceae. The record is from Rfam by way of RNAcentral.